RNAcentral lists this unclassified non-coding RNA (595 nucleotides) under Zea mays. Its description in RNAcentral is "misc RNA Zm00001eb363410". The record is from RNAcentral. Lineage: Eukaryota; Viridiplantae; Streptophyta; Magnoliopsida; Poales; Poaceae.
GAAGCGACGGAGCUCGGCCGGAUCGACGACGACUCUUCACGGCGCGCGGCUCUCUUGCCUUCAGCACCGCAGCUCGACACCGCCACCGCCGCCGCUGCCGCCACGACCAACGAGAGCUUUGCUUUGCUCCUCGGUGGCUCGGCCGCGAGCCUGACUGACGAGCUGUUUGCCCCCCGCCGGCUAUUUAAAGGCAGCGACAGCGGCAUGCCGUUGGUGGUAAAUAUGAUAGAGGAGAGGAGAGGAGAGGAGCGGAGCGGAGCAAGACAAGACGACGACGCUGGCCCAGGUCCAGCUAUGGAUGUGACGUGACGUGCUCGUCGCGGAAGCGAAACCCACCCACGUAUAGAUGCCUAAACGUGAACCGAGUGCAGAGUGCAAAGGCAAAAGCUUCCCCAUUCCAUCCCAACUGAAAGCAGAAACGUCACUGAGUCGUUUGAAUUGGUUCAUCGAUCCGGGUGAAAACGAGAACCACUGAAUAGCAUGUUGCGAAACUUUUCUUCUUCUUCUUGUUCUGUUGGCCAGAAAUCAUCACAACUCAGAAAUGUGGCCAGUCACUCGAGCAGUAGCAUGUAUAAUUGGCAUCGGUCAGUUACUU